AUUGAACGCUGGCGGCAGGCCUAACACAUGCAAGUCGAACGAGUGGCGGACGGGUGAGUAAUGUCUGGGAAACUGCCUGAUGGAGGGGGAUAACUACUGGAAACGGUAGCUAAUACCGCAUACCAUCGGAUGUGCCCAGAUGGGAUUAUCUAGUCGGGGGGGUAACGGCUCACCUAGGCGACGAUCCCUAGCUGGUCUGAGAGGAGGACAAGCCACACUGGAACUGAGACACGGUCCAGACUCCUACGGUAGGCAGCAGUGGGGAAUAUUGCACAAGUGGCGCAAGCCUGAUGCAGCCAUGCCGCGUGUAUGAAGAAGGCCUUCGGGUUGUAAAGUACUUUCAGCGGGGAGGCGUUACCCGCAGAAGAAGCACCGGCUAACUCCGUGCCAGCAGCCGCGGUAAUAC
RNAcentral lists this ribosomal RNA (406 nucleotides) under uncultured bacterium. Its description in RNAcentral is "partial 16S ribosomal RNA". It matches the Rfam family "Bacterial small subunit ribosomal RNA", at positions 30 to 526 of the family's 1533-position model. The record is from RNAcentral.